This 257-nucleotide ribosomal RNA is filed under the name uncultured bacterium. RNAcentral describes it as "partial 16S ribosomal RNA". It matches the Rfam family "Bacterial small subunit ribosomal RNA", at positions 526 to 779 of the family's 1533-position model. The record is from RNAcentral.
CGUAGGGUCCAAGCGUUGUCCGGAUUUAUUGGGGCGUAAAAGAGCUCGUAGGCGGUUCGGUAAGUCAACGGUGAAAACUCCAGGCUCAACUUGGAGACGCCCGCUGAUACUGCUGUGACUUGAAUUUGGUAGGGGAGUCACGGAAUUCCUGGUGUAGCGGUGAAAUGCGCAGAUAUCAGGAGGACACCGGUGGCGAAGGCGGUGAUCUGGGCCAAUAUUGACGCUGAGGAGCGAAAGCGUGGGGAGCAAACAGGAUU